RNAcentral lists this ribosomal RNA (482 nucleotides) under uncultured bacterium. Its description in RNAcentral is "SSU rRNA". It matches the Rfam family "Bacterial small subunit ribosomal RNA", at positions 26 to 521 of the family's 1533-position model. The record is from RNAcentral.
AGAACGAACGCUGGCGGCAUGCCUAACACAUGCAAGUCGAACGCUUCCGGGGCUUCGGUCGCGGAGGAGUGGCGCACGGGUGAGUAGCGCGUGGGAACCUGCCCUGUUGUGGGGGAUAACCGAGGGAAACUUCGGCUAAUACCGCAUACGCCCCGGGACUUGGUCUUCGGAUUAGGUCUGGGGGGAAAGAUUGAUCGCAGCAGGAGGGGCCCGCGUCGGAUUAGCUGGUUGGUGGGGUAACGGCUCACCAAGGCGAUGAUCCGUAGCUGGUCUGAGAGGAUGAUCAGCCACACUGGGACUGAGACACGGCCCAGACUCCUACGGGAGGCAGCAGUGGGGAAUAUUGGACAAUGGGGGCAACCCUGAUCCAGCAAUGCCGCGUGAGUGAUGAAGGCCUUAGGGUUGUAAAGCUCUUUCGCCCGCGACGAUGAUGACGGUAGCGGGAGAAGAAGCCCGGCUAACUUCGCGCCAGCAGCCGCGGU